AGUUUAGGCUAGGGGGGCUGGAUAGGCCAGCUGAGAUAAAGACCCUUUGAUGUCUUUGACCCUUGAACCUGAUUCUGGGUAAUACCAGCGUAGGGAAGCUCAUUGAUGUCAUC
Molecule: non-coding RNA, 113 nt
Filed under: Sporomusa malonica
Lineage: Bacteria; Bacillati; Bacillota; Negativicutes; Selenomonadales; Sporomusaceae
Description: TPP sequence
Rfam family: TPP riboswitch aptamer (THI element)
About the family: Vitamin B(1) in its active form thiamin pyrophosphate (TPP) is an essential coenzyme that is synthesised by coupling of pyrimidine and thiazole moieties in bacteria.
Source: Rfam by way of RNAcentral